Molecule: ribosomal RNA, 468 nt
Filed under: uncultured bacterium
Lineage: Bacteria
Description: partial 16S ribosomal RNA
Rfam family: Bacterial small subunit ribosomal RNA
Source: RNAcentral
GACGAACGCUGGCGGCGUGCUUAACAAAAACAAGUCGAACGAAAAGGCCCUGCUUUUGUGGGGUGCUCGAGUGGCGAACGGGUGAGUAACACGUGAGUAACCUGCCCUUGACUUUGGGAUAACUUCAGGAAACUGGGGCUAAUACCGGAUAGGAGCUCCUGCUGCAUGGUGGGGGUUGGAAAGUUUCGGCGGUUGGGGAUGGACUCGCGGCUUAUCAGCUUGUUGGUGGGGUAGUGGCUUACCAAGGCUUUGACUGGGAGCCGGCCUGAGAGGGUGACCGGCCACAUUGGGACUGAGGUACGGCCCAGACUCCUACGGGAGGCAGCAGUGGGGAAUAUUGCACAAUGGGCGGAAGCCUGAUGCAGCAACGCCGCGUGCGGGAUGACGGCCUUCGGGUUGUAAACCGCUUUCGCCUGUGACGAAGCGUGAGUGACGGUAAUGGGUAAAGAAGCACCGGCUAACUACGUG